UCAACCUCGAAGACUCACUCUC
This 22-nucleotide non-coding RNA is filed under the name Arabidopsis thaliana (thale cress). Lineage: Eukaryota; Viridiplantae; Streptophyta; Magnoliopsida; Brassicales; Brassicaceae. The record is from RNAcentral.